RNAcentral lists this long non-coding RNA (2110 nucleotides) under Nicotiana benthamiana. Its description in RNAcentral is "long non-coding RNA (NBEN_LNC009609)". Lineage: Eukaryota; Viridiplantae; Streptophyta; Magnoliopsida; Solanales; Solanaceae. The record is from RNAcentral.
AGAAACGAUUGCCCAAAUUGAAUUCCAUUUCAUAACCACAUCUUUAUUUGAACGUUCAACUGUAUAUGCACUCCUUGCAAUUCAACUAACUAUUGAAUACGCUUACCUUAGGCUAGUUAGCCGACUAAUACAAAUCAUCAGAAACAGUCCAAGUCUUAUUAGCAUAAUUGAAUUAUAGCUCAAAAGAGACAACCAAUAACAGUAACAUGUCACAAAAAUCUACAUUUUUAACUAAACAAUAACACUAAAGGUCCCAAUAAAAAUAUGCAUUUUUUCAUUAUAUAAACUUUAAAAAUGGUCUUCUAUGCGUGAACACAACUUCAACAUUACUUGAGCCUGGGAAUAUACUUGGAAGGUGAAAUAAAGAAGAAGAAACGAGGUCAGCAGCAAUAGAGGUCACAUCAGUAGAUCGAAAUCAAGCUCACAACUCAAUAUUCAGCAUCAUAUCAGUCCAAAAAAUUUCAGCAGCUCAGAGAGGUUUUAGAAAACAAUACACAAGCGACAAAUAUACCAAAACAACACUAACUAACCCUAGAGCAUACCCAACACCGCUUAAAAAAAUUCAGCAAACAAAAACUUCACCAAAAACAGUUAAGUAGACCACAACAACUCGAAAUCAAGUAGUGUACUUCACAGAAACUUCAGUAAUCAAGUAUUAGACUAGAAGAUGAGAAUCACUAACGAAUAUUGAAAUUAGCCUGAAAUUCCUAAUGAAACACUAUUUUGGGGGAAUUUUGAGGGUUUUCUAUUGUUUUUGUUUUUUUUAAUUUGAAUAUCAGUUUUCAGAUCUGAAGAAUUGAAAGAACAUUUGUCUUUGGGGGAAUUCUGUGGCUCAAAACUUGCGUGUUAAGGCAUUGACAUGCCCUUUUAUAGGCAAUAAUAAGGGCAACCCAUAAAUUUUCAGUUUUCAGUCUCAGUCCGUUAUUAAUUUUUAUUUUUACUUACAUGUCUCUUAUUCCCUGACUUGCUACUCAAGUUAAUACCCUACCAUUAUGAAACCUACACUUGAGCCCUAAUGAAUUCUACUCUAAUCUACAUCCCACAUGUCCAAUUCCAAUUACUCAAAUAUCCUUGAUUACCCCCUGAAACUACUAAACAAAUUGAUUCAAUUCUAAUUACCAGAGUAUGAUUAUUGAACACACAGAACAAAACCUACUCUAUUAAUUCUAAUAGCUAAUAACAUAGUAGAUGCUAAUAAUUGAAUUAUUAAACUACAACUUCAAAACACAAAAUCAGAUAUUGAAAGACUAGUUAAUCCUAACACCAUAAUCAUCUACAUUAUAAUCUAGUCUAAACUAACAAAUCGAAAUAGUCAGAACUAACCGAUACUUAAUAACUAAACUAACAAAAUAAAAAUCAGAAUUAAACUAACAUGAACCAAUUAACUAACAUUUGAACAUGAAUUUGACCAACGUUAGACCAAACCAAACCAAUAUAGCAUCGGAAUUAAUACAAGACUCAAUACCAAAUAAACGCGAAAUAAACUAAUAAGAAUCAAAAUAUAUAGAAGAACAAAAAUAACUAAAAAAUGAAUAGAAAACUCACUGAAUGCAGAUUUCUCGCGGCCAUUUAUUUUGGUUAAUGUUAUAUGUCUAUUUCGUCAAAAAAAGACAGAUAACAUCAAAUAAAAAUGAACCGACCUGGAAACUCAAAAAAAUCGACUUAAAACUUAAGAACCCUAUAUUUGGAACUUGAGACGGCCUGGUGAAAUUUGAGAGUUUUUGGCUUGGGAUUCAAGGUAAUGGAGUCAUGGGAUUGUGGAGUGUGAAUUUAAGCCAGUUUUGACAAAGUUGUGUUUUAGGCUUCAAACAAAAAUUCGAGAGGGCGGGUUUUGGUUCGAAAGAAACUAAGGGCAUUGUUAGAAGGAGGAGAGUGAGUAGAGUGAAGAGUGUUAGUUUGGGGUUCUUUGGUUGUGGAGCCUCCUAGGGUUCAGAAGAUGAGGAGAUGAAGAAGAUAACCUGGUGAAAUUUUGGGGGUGAUAAUAGCCACCACGCCAGCGCUGGCGAUUUCCGGUAGCGAUUUCAAGCGGAGAGGGGCGGCAUUACACUGGAGGUUUUGAGGGGGACAAAACGGGGGGUGGAGGUAUGGUCAAUGUGACUUAAAUACUUUU